GGUUUUGUUGUGUUGCCCAGGCUGGUCUCAAACUCCUGAGCUCAAGCGAUCUACCUGCCUCAGUCUCCCAAGGUGCUGGGAUUACAGGUGUGAGCCAUUGCGCUCAGCCUGGUCAUUAUCAUUUCUAUCACCAGAUACCGAAACUGGCAACACCCAGAGACAUUUCCCUCCUAGUCAUAAAGGAAGCCAGCAGCAGAGCCAGAAAUAAUAUUCAAAUUCUGGAUCCACUAGACCAUAUUGCCCGUCUGACAAAUUAUACGCUUACAUCCUGCUUCAGUUCUAAUAAGGUACCCACAAUGCCGGGUUCUCUACCCACUGGGAGCAAACAAGGGAACGUGCAGACGCUGGACAGCAUACGAUGGAUGCCUGCAACUCCUGUACCUGCCCCCGAAUGCCACCAGAAAUAUGCCAUCUCUACUGAAACAGCUUUUCCAACCCUGAGCACGUUUAUGAACACGGAAAAGAGUGUAAAGGGGUCAAAUGCAGACUUUACAAAAAGAAACCCAAGAUGGAGAUUCCUGUUCGGGAUAUACUGCAGGUGGGGUUCAUAACAACAUAGUCCUUUACUUGCCAAGUAAUCUGAAAGCAACUAAUUAGAGAACCUGUAAGGGAUGCCAAUCCCAGUUUUCAAAAUGGCAUUUCAAGGAAAUUAAAUCUUAUCAUGUAAAUAGGUCA
This is a long non-coding RNA of Homo sapiens (human), 675 nucleotides long. Ensembl annotates it as long intergenic non-protein coding RNA 2909. The record is from Ensembl. NCBI's taxonomy places the organism in Eukaryota, Metazoa, Chordata, Mammalia, Primates, Hominidae.